This 465-nucleotide ribosomal RNA is filed under the name Vreelandella stevensii. RNAcentral describes it as "partial 16S ribosomal RNA". It matches the Rfam family "Bacterial small subunit ribosomal RNA", at positions 338 to 795 of the family's 1533-position model. Lineage: Bacteria; Pseudomonadati; Pseudomonadota; Gammaproteobacteria; Oceanospirillales; Halomonadaceae. The record is from RNAcentral.
CCUACGGGUGGCUGCAGUGGGGAAUAUUGGACAAUGGGGGGAACCCUGAUCCAGCCAUGCCGCGUGUGUGAAGAAGGCCCUCGGGUUGUAAAGCACUUUCAGUGAGGAAGAACGCCUGGUGGUUAAUACCCAUCAGGAAAGACAUCACUCACAGAAGAAGCACCGGCUAACUCCGUGCCAGCAGCCGCGGUAAUACGGAGGGUGCGAGCGUUAAUCGGAAUUACUGGGCGUAAAGCGCGCGUAGGUGGCUUGAUAAGCCGGUUGUGAAAGCCCCGGGCUCAACCUGGGAACGGCAUCCGGAACUGUCAAGCUAGAGUGCAGGAGAGGAAGGUAGAAUUCCCGGUGUAGCGGUGAAAUGCGUAGAGAUCGGGAGGAAUACCAGUGGCGAAGGCGGCCUUCUGGACUGACACUGACACUGAGGUGCGAAAGCGUGGGUAGCAAACAGGAUGAGAUACCCCUGUAGUC